UGAUACGUAGGGGGCGAGCGUUGUCCGGAUUCAUUGGGCGUAAAGAGCUCGUAGGCGGUUCGGUAAGUCAGGUGUAAAAACUCCAGGCUCAACUUGGAGAGGCCACCUGAUACUGCCGUGACUAGAGUCCGGUAGAGGAGCAUGGAAUUCCUGGUGUAGCGGUGAAAUGCGCAGAUAUCAGGAGGAACACCAGCGGCGAAGGCGGUGCUCUGGGCCGGAACUGACGCUGAGGAGCGAAAGCGUGGGGAGCGAACAGGAUUAGAUACCCUGGUAGUCCACGCCGUAAACGUUGGGCACUAGGUGUGGGACUCUGUCAACGGGUCCUGUGCCGUAGCUAACGCAUUAAGUGCCCCGCCUGGGGAGUACGGCCGCAAGGCUA
This 379-nucleotide ribosomal RNA is filed under the name uncultured bacterium. RNAcentral's name for it is "bacterial SSU rRNA". It matches the Rfam family "Bacterial small subunit ribosomal RNA", at positions 521 to 896 of the family's 1533-position model. The record is from RNAcentral.